UGAGUCAAAGUUUAUGUGCCUCCACAGAGCAUCAGGUAUCUUUCAGAAGUUUGAUCAUAGGCUCCCUUAGUUGAACGCUGGCGGGAUGCCACAUGCAGUCGAACAGCAGCACGGACUUCGGUCUGGUGGCAGUGGCAGGCAGGUGGUAAUGUAUCGGACGUUGCCCUAAGCAGGGAUAACUAAGCGUAGCUAAUACCGCAUACGCCCUUCGGGGAAAACGAGGGGACGGGCUCACCUAUGAAAGCAGCCGAUAUCCGGACCAGCUGGAUUGGUGGAGUAACGGCUCACCAAGGCGACGAUCCGUAGCUGGUUUUGAGAGGACGACCAGCCCCUGGGGAUUGAGACACGGCCCAGACUCUGAGGCAGCAGUGGGGAAUUUUUGGUUCAUGGAGAGAAGACACAGUCAACCACUGCAUCCCCGCAUUGUGCGAUGAAGGCCUUCGGGUUGUAAAGCACUUUGGCAGAAGAAACGGCACGGGAUAAUACCCCGUGCAACUGACGGUACCUGCAGAAUAAGCACCGGCUAACUACGUGCCAGCAGCCGCCGGUAAUACGUAGGGUGCAAGCGUUAAUCGGAAUUACUGGGCGUAAAGCGUGCGCAGGCGGUUCGGAAAGAAAGAUGUGAAAUCGAGGCUUACUUUCAGAAGAUUGUUUUAACUGCAAGCUGAAAUACCGUAUGGGGAAGUGAGUCAUCGUAACGUGAUGAAAUGCGUAGAUAUGCGGAGGAACACCGAUGGCGAAGGCAGCCUCCUGGGAUAACACUGACGCUCAUGCAGCGGUAAACAGGAUUAGAUACCCUGGUAGUCCACGCCCAGCGCAAAUCGCUAUAUUUGGGGCCUUCGGGCCUUGGUAGCGCAGCUAACGCGUGAAGUUGACCGCCUGGGAAGUACGGUCACUAAGUGCGCUCAAAGGAAUUGACGGGGACCCGCACAAGCAUUGGAUGAUGUGGAUUAAUUCGAUGCAACGCGAAAAGCCUUACCUACCCAGCGGCAUGUCUGGAAUCCCGAAGAGAUUUGGGAGUGCUCGCAAAGAAGGAACCGGAACACAAGUGCUGCAACCACCGUCGUCAGCUCGUGUCGUGAGAUGUUGGGUUAAGUCCGCAGCGAGGCGCAGCCCUUGUCAUUAGUUACUGAAAGGGCACUCUAAUGGGCCGAUGGACAUCAACCAGAGGAAGGGUGGUGUCGAGAUCUCAUGGCCACUACUCGAUGCGACUUACAUCAUCUAAAUGGUCGGGACAGAGGUCGCCAACCCGCGAGGAGUGUCCGAAGGCCAAUCAGCGGUCGGAUCCGCGAUACAACUCGACUGCGUGAAGUCCCGGAAUCCGCUAGUAAUCGCGGAUCAGCAUGUCGCGGUGAAUACCGUUCCCGGGUCUUGUACACACCGCCCGUCACACCAUGGGAGGUGGUUCCCAAUGGUUAGCCUAACCGUAAGGAGGGCGAUUACCACAGUAGGAUUCAUGACUGGGGUGAAGUCGUAACAAAGGUAG
Molecule: ribosomal RNA, 1486 nt
Filed under: uncultured Bordetella sp.
Lineage: Bacteria; Pseudomonadati; Pseudomonadota; Betaproteobacteria; Burkholderiales; Alcaligenaceae
Description: partial 16S-23S ribosomal RNA intergenic spacer
Rfam family: Bacterial small subunit ribosomal RNA
Source: RNAcentral